GCGAUCAUACCAUAACUAAUGCAUUGAAUCCCAUCUAAACUCUAGAGUUAAGUGUGCUUGGGUGAGAGUAGUACUAGGAUGGGUGACCUCUUGACAAGGAAGUCCUUGUGUUGCAACCC
This 119-nucleotide ribosomal RNA is filed under the name Spirodela intermedia. The record is from RNAcentral. Lineage: Eukaryota; Viridiplantae; Streptophyta; Magnoliopsida; Alismatales; Araceae.